Molecule: signal recognition particle RNA, 299 nt
Filed under: Cebus imitator (Panamanian white-faced capuchin)
Lineage: Eukaryota; Metazoa; Chordata; Mammalia; Primates; Cebidae
Description: Metazoan signal recognition particle RNA (ENSCCAG00000011158.1)
Rfam family: Metazoan signal recognition particle RNA
About the family: The signal recognition particle (SRP) is a universally conserved ribonucleoprotein.
Source: RNAcentral
GCCAGGUGCGGUGGCACAUGCCUGUAGUCCCAGCUACUCGAGAGGCUGAGGUGGGAGGAUUGCUUGAACCCAGGAGUUCUGGGCUGUAGUGCGCUAUGCCGAUCGGGUGUCCACACUAAGUUUGGCAUCAAUAUGGUGACCUUCCGGGAGCAGGGGACCACCAGGUUGCCCAAGGAGGGGUGAACAGGCCCAGGUCGGAAACAGAGCAGGUCAAAACUCCUGUGCUGAUCAGUAGUGAGAUUGCGCCUGUGAAUAGCCACUGCACUCCAGCCUGGGCAACAUAGCGAGACCCCGUCUCU